CCUACGGGGGGCAGCAGUGGGGAAUAUUGCACAAUGGGGGAAACCCUGAUGCAGCGACGCCGCGUGAGUGAAGAAGUAUUUCGGUAUGUAAAGCUCUAUCAGCAGGAACGAGACAAGACGGUACCUGACUAAGAAGCCCCGGCUAACUACGUGCCAGCAGCCGCGGUAAUACGUAGGGGACAAGCGUUAUCCGGAAUCACGGGGGUUAAAGGGGUCGUAGGCGGCUUAGUAAGCCUGAAGUGAAAGGCGGGGGCCCAACCCCUGGACUGCUUUGGGAACUGUACGGCUGGAGUGCAGGAGAGGUAAGUGGAAUUCCUAGUGUAGCGGUGGAAUGCGUAGAUAUUAGGAGGAACACCAGUGGCGAAGGCGGCUUACUGGACUGUAACUGACGUUGAGGCUCGAAAGCGUGGGGAGCAAACAGGAUUAGAUACCCUGGUAGUC
RNAcentral lists this ribosomal RNA (441 nucleotides) under uncultured bacterium. RNAcentral's name for it is "partial 16S ribosomal RNA". It matches the Rfam family "Bacterial small subunit ribosomal RNA", at positions 338 to 795 of the family's 1533-position model. The record is from RNAcentral.